Molecule: non-coding RNA, 135 nt
Organism: Triticum aestivum (bread wheat)
Lineage: Eukaryota; Viridiplantae; Streptophyta; Magnoliopsida; Poales; Poaceae
Source: Rfam
UAACUACUCCCUCCGUCCCAAAAUUCUUGUCUUAAAUUUGUCUAAAUACGGAUGUAUCAAGUCACGUUUUAGUAUUAGGUACAUUCGCAUCUAGAUAAAUCUAAGACAAGAAUUUUGGGACGAAGGGAGUAUUUG